AGGUGCUGCAUGGCUGUCGUCAGCUCGUGUUGUGAAAUGUUGGGUUAAGUCCCGCAACGAGCGCAACCCUUAUCCUUUGUUGCCAGCGCGUAAUGGCGGGAACUCAAAGGAGACUGCCGGUGAUAAACCGGAGGAAGGUGGGGAUGACGUCAAGUCAUCAUGGCCCUUACGAGUAGGGCUACACACGUGCUACAAUGGCGUAUACAAAGAGAAGCGAACUCGCGAGAGCCAGCGGACCUCAUAAAGUACGUCGUAGUCCGGAUCGGAGUCUGCAACUCGACUCCGUGAAGUCGGAAUCGCUAGUAAUCGUAGAUCAGAAUGCUACGGUGAAUACGUUCCCGGGCCUUGUACACACCGCCCGUCACACCAUGGGAGUGGGUUGCAAAAGAAGUAGGUAGCUUAACCUUCGGGAGGGCG
Molecule: ribosomal RNA, 417 nt
Filed under: Serratia proteamaculans
Lineage: Bacteria; Pseudomonadati; Pseudomonadota; Gammaproteobacteria; Enterobacterales; Yersiniaceae
Description: bacterial SSU rRNA
Rfam family: Bacterial small subunit ribosomal RNA
Source: RNAcentral